RNAcentral lists this ribosomal RNA (465 nucleotides) under Vreelandella stevensii. RNAcentral's name for it is "partial 16S ribosomal RNA". It matches the Rfam family "Bacterial small subunit ribosomal RNA", at positions 338 to 795 of the family's 1533-position model. The record is from RNAcentral. Lineage: Bacteria; Pseudomonadati; Pseudomonadota; Gammaproteobacteria; Oceanospirillales; Halomonadaceae.
CCUACGGGAGGCAGCAGUGGGGAAUAUUGGACAAUGGGCGAAAGCCUGAUCCAGCCAUGCCGCGUGUGUGAAGAAGGCCUUCGGGUUGUAAAGCACUUUCAGUGGGGAAGAAAGCCUUGGGGCUAAUACCCUCGAGGAAGGACAUCACCCACAGAAGAAGCACCGGCUAACUCCGUGCCAGCAGCCGCGGUAAUACGGAGGGUGCGAGCGUUAAUCGGAAUUACUGGGCGUAAAGCGCGCGUAGGCGGUCUGAUAAGCCGGUUGUGAAAGCCCCGGGCUCAACCUGGGAACGGCAUCCGGAACUGUCAGGCUAGAGUGCAUGAGAGGAAGGUAGAAUUCCCGGUGUAGCGGUGAAAUGCGUAGAGAUCGGGAGGAAUACCAGUGGCGAAGGCGGCCUUCUGGACUGACACUGACGCUGAGGUGCGAAAGCGUGGGUAGCAAACAGGAUUAGAUACCCCUGUAGUC